This 435-nucleotide ribosomal RNA is filed under the name uncultured Bdellovibrio sp. Its description in RNAcentral is "bacterial SSU rRNA". It matches the Rfam family "Bacterial small subunit ribosomal RNA", at positions 342 to 791 of the family's 1533-position model. The record is from RNAcentral. Lineage: Bacteria; Pseudomonadati; Bdellovibrionota; Bdellovibrionia; Bdellovibrionales; Pseudobdellovibrionaceae.
CGGGGGGCAGCAGUAGGGAAUAUUGCACAAUGGGGGAAACCCUGAUGCAGCGACGCCGCGUGAGUGAUGAAGGCCUUCGGGUCGUAAAGCUCUGUCGUAUGGGACUAACAAAAUGAAGGUACCAUGCAAGAAAGGAUCGGCUAACUUCGUGCCAGCAGCCGCGGUAAGACGAGGGAUCCUAGCGUUGUUCGGAAUUAUUGGGCGUAAAGCGGGUGUAGGCGGACUUAUAAGUCAGGUGUGAAAUCCCAGGGCUCAACCCUGGAAGUGCACUUGAUACUGCAAGUCUUGAGUGUGGUAGAGGCUAUUAGAAUUCUUGGUGUAGUGGUGAAAUACGUAGAUAUCAAGAGGAAUACCGGAGGCGAAGGCGGAUAGCUGGGCCAACACUGACGCUGAGACCCGAAAGCGUGGGGAUCAAACAGGAUUAGAUACCCGGGU